GAUGAACGCUGGCGGCGUGCCUAAUACAUGCAAGUCGAACGCAUAGCGAAAGCUUUUUGCACCUUUCAAGUUGGUGGCCAACGGGUGAGCACCACGUUGACCACCUGCCUCAAGGCUGGGGAUAUCAUGUGGAUACAGAUGCUAACACCGAAUAAAACCUAGUGUCUCAUGACCCAAAGUUAAAAGGCGCUUCGGCGUCGCCUAUAGAUGGAUCCGCGGUUCGUUAGUUAGUUGGUGGGGUAGAGGCCUACCAAGGCAUGGAUGGGGAGCCGAGUUGAGAGGGUGACCGGCGAGAUGGGGACUGAGAGACGGACCAGAGUGCUACGGGAGGCAGCGGUGGGGAAUAUUGCACAAUGGGCGGAAGCCUGAUGCAGCAACGCCGGGUGCGGGAUGACGGCCUUCGGGUUGUAAACCGCUUUCGCCUGUGACGAAGCGUGAGUGACGGUAAUGGGUAAAGAAGCACCGGCUAACUACGUG
Molecule: ribosomal RNA, 477 nt
Filed under: uncultured bacterium
Lineage: Bacteria
Description: partial 16S ribosomal RNA
Rfam family: Bacterial small subunit ribosomal RNA
Source: RNAcentral